RNAcentral lists this ribosomal RNA (579 nucleotides) under uncultured bacterium. RNAcentral describes it as "bacterial SSU rRNA". It matches the Rfam family "Bacterial small subunit ribosomal RNA", at positions 338 to 916 of the family's 1533-position model. The record is from RNAcentral.
CCUACGGGAGGCAGCAGUAAGGAAUAUUGGUCAAUGGACGAAAGUCUGAACCAGCCAUGCCGCGUGAAGGAUUAAGGCCCUCUGGGUUGUAAACUUCUUUUAUCUGGGACGAAAAAAGGGUAUUCUUACUCACUUGACGGUACCAGAGGAAUAAGCACCGGCUAACUCCGUGCCAGCAGCCGCGGUAAUACGGAGGGUGCAAGCGUUAUCCGGAUUUACUGGGUUUAAAGGGUGCGUAGGUGGGCUUGUAAGUCAGUGGUGAAAUCUCCGGGCUUAACCCGGAAACUGCCAUUGAUACUAUAGGUCUUGAAUUAUCUGGAGGUAAGCGGAAUAUGUCAUGUAGCGGUGAAAUGCUUAGAUAUGACAUAGAACACCAAUUGCGAAGGCAGCUUACUACGGAUAUAUUGACACUGAGGCACGAAAGCGUGGGGAUCAAACAGGAUUAGAUACCCUGGUAGUCCACGCCCUAAACGAUGGAUACUCGACAUCAGCGAUACACUGUUGGUGUCUGAGCGAAAGCAUUAAGUAUCCCACCUGGGAAGUACGAUCGCAAGAUUGAAACUCAAAGGAAAUUGACGG